Molecule: ribosomal RNA, 494 nt
Filed under: uncultured bacterium
Lineage: Bacteria
Description: bacterial SSU rRNA
Rfam family: Bacterial small subunit ribosomal RNA
Source: RNAcentral
UUAGAGUUUGAUCAUGGCUCAGGAUGAACGCUGGCGGCGUGCCUAAUACAUGCAAGUCGAGCGAACAGACGAGGAGCUUGCUCCUCUGACGUUAGCGGCGGACGGGUGAGUAACACGUGGAUAACCUACCUAUAAGACUGGGAUAACUUCGGGAAACCGGAGCUAAUAGCGGAUAAUAUAUUGAACCGCGUGGUUCAAUAGUGAAAGACGGUUUUGCUGUCACUUAUAGAUGGAUCCGCGCCGCAUUAGCUAGUUGGUAAGGUAACAGCUUACCAAGGCANCGAUGCGUAGCCGACCUGAGAGGGUGAUCGGCCACACUGGAACUGANACACGGNCCAGACUCCUACGGGAGGCANCAGUAGGGAAUCUUCCGCAAUGGGCGAAAGCCUGACGGAGCAACGCCGCGNGAGUGAUGAAGGUCUUCGGAUCGUAAAACUCUGUUAUUAGGGAAGAACAAAUGUGUAAGUAACUAUGCNCGUCUUGACGGUACCUAA